GACGAACGCUGGCGGCGUGCUUAACACAUGCAAGUCGAACGGUGACGAGGAGCUUGCUCCUCUGAUCAGUGGCGAACGGGUGAGUAACACGUGAGCAACCUGCCCCAGACUCUGGGAUAACAGUUGGAAACAGCUGCUAAUACCGGAUACGAGACGGAGAGGCAUCUCUACCGUCUGGAAAGUUUUCGGUCUGGGAUGGACUCGCGGCCUAUCAGCUAGUUGGUGAGGUAAUGGCUCACCAAGGCGACGACGGGUAGCCGGCCUGAGAGGGCGACCGGCCACACUGGGACUGAGACACGGCCCAGACUCCUACGGGAGGCAGCAGUUGGGAAUCUUAGGCAAUGGACGAAAGUCUGACCUAGCGACGCCGCGUGAGGGAAGAAGGCCUUCGGGUUGUAAACCUCUGUCAUGGGGGAAGAAGUAAGUGACGGUACCCCAAGAGGAAGCCCCUGCUAACUACGUG
RNAcentral lists this ribosomal RNA (463 nucleotides) under uncultured bacterium. RNAcentral describes it as "bacterial SSU rRNA". It matches the Rfam family "Bacterial small subunit ribosomal RNA", at positions 28 to 507 of the family's 1533-position model. The record is from RNAcentral.